Molecule: long non-coding RNA, 534 nt
Filed under: Cimex lectularius (bed bug)
Lineage: Eukaryota; Metazoa; Arthropoda; Insecta; Hemiptera; Cimicidae
Description: uncharacterized LOC106669686, transcript variant X1
Source: RNAcentral
CCAUCAAAAACCUGCAAUAAAGUGAUAUAAACACUGAUAAAUGCAGAACAUCAGGAUCUUCAUGUUUUUCUCCAUAAAACAGUGUCAUUUGAGUAUUUUUAAAGGAGGGGUUUUGCAAGGAGGUUUGUGUCGUUAGGAACAACACCCAUAUAUGGAGAAGGCUUGAUUUGUCAUUUUUGGAAUGAUGCCUGAAGGACAGCCCACCAAGACCUUCCAACAAGAAAGGGAAAUGUUAAUUAAAUUAAAUCAGAAUUUGUGUACUGUUUCAUUGUUGAAAAGUGUAACUAAGUGAUGGGGCUCAUGAAUUACAGGAAGCGGACCAGAUGCUGACGUGGACGUUCCAGACAUCCUGGACCUCUGUGGGAACACGGGUAAAGACUGUCUCAUCCGUGUCUUUGAUGUCCACAUACCGGUCAAUAGUGACAAUUGGUUCUUUCAUUUGUUGCUGAAACCUCAUCAUCAGGUUUGCGAGCCCUAUCGCUUAACGGUCUUACUGUUCUAAAUUUUAUGUUAAAUAAAAGGGUAGUAAAUUCA